Molecule: ribosomal RNA, 353 nt
Filed under: uncultured Sphingobacteriales bacterium
Lineage: Bacteria; Pseudomonadati; Bacteroidota; Sphingobacteriia; Sphingobacteriales
Description: bacterial SSU rRNA
Rfam family: Bacterial small subunit ribosomal RNA
Source: RNAcentral
UCUGACACAGGUGCUGCAUGGCUGUCGUCAGCUCGUGUCGUGAGAUGUUGGUAAGUCCCGUAACGAGCGCAACCCUUGUCAUUAGUUGCCAUCAGGUAAUGCUGGGGACUCUAAAGGAACUGCCUACGCAAGUAGUGAGGAAGGCGGGGAUGACGUCAAAUCAGCACGGCCCUUACGUCCAGGGCUACACACGUGCUACAAUGGCCGAUACAGAGGGCAGCUACCUGGUGACAGGAUGCAAAUCUCCAAAGUCGGUCUCAGUUCGGAUCGGAGUCUGCAACCCGACUCCGUGAAGUUGGAUUCGCUAGUAAUCGCGCAUCAGCCAUGGCGCGGUGAAUACGUUCCCGGGCCUU